Haplochromis burtoni (Burton's mouthbrooder) is the source of this 812-nucleotide long non-coding RNA. RefSeq lists it as uncharacterized. The record is from RefSeq and is a predicted model, not a curated record. NCBI's taxonomy places the organism in Eukaryota, Metazoa, Chordata, Actinopteri, Cichliformes, Cichlidae. The transcript has 2 exons.
UCUCUGAUACACCGGCUACAUAGGGGAUGACAAUGUUGUUGCGUCUGCGCACCUCCAGGAUUGGAACAGCAGCCCCUUGCACCAGGUGUAGAAAGUGUGCCUACAAAAGCCACUCUACUGUGGUUAGUACAUCUUGCUGCUAAUGAGGAUGCACGCAGAAGCACACACUGGAAUAUCAAUUUCGAUCAUUUUAUUGGUCAUCUCAGUGGUUAUUUGGUCAUUAAAUUGCCUUUGUGGCCACUAACACACCAUUUGUGAUUUACUUUUUGGCCAUUCAUUGAUACUCAUUGAUACUUUUAAUUAUUGCUACGCAUCUAACCUCCACCAUGGUUAGAAAAUAAAUCAGUUUGCAUGUAUUAUUUAGAAAAAAAAUGGGGAUUUUAUGCUUUUAUCCCUAUUUAAAUCAUUAAAAUUAUGUGAUCUAACUGGUAUUUAAAGGGUUAAAAUUCUGAAUUUGAAUGAAAUUUUGAUUUUCAUGAACAGCACUGAUGCUAAUCUUAAAAAAUCAAGUCAGAAAAAGUGGAAUUUUUUCUUAAUAUAUAUGAAUUUUAUAGCAUUUUGUAAACGUAAACAGGGGGUGUCCAUUUUUGGCCACAAACAAGCUGACAGGGAGUUUUUAUGUUUUUGCUCUCCCUGCACAAAAACAACAAUGCAUUAUAAUCAGUGUUGAUGUGAAUCAAUUACAUGCCCCAGACUCUACUAUUAACAAUACAAGAAAUUUCAGUAGCAAUGCAAUUAUAUAAAAUUGUGAGAUUUGAGGUUGUCUUCCAGCUGGUGCAGUGGACAAACAAACUGGUGUUUAAAGGGUUAAA